Molecule: non-coding RNA, 46 nt
Filed under: Schistosoma mattheei
Lineage: Eukaryota; Metazoa; Platyhelminthes; Trematoda; Strigeidida; Schistosomatidae
Source: RNAcentral
ACACUGCUGAGGAGUCCCAAAAUAGGGCGAUACGGCCGUCCAGUGC